Molecule: ribosomal RNA, 549 nt
Filed under: uncultured bacterium
Lineage: Bacteria
Description: bacterial SSU rRNA
Rfam family: Bacterial small subunit ribosomal RNA
Source: RNAcentral
UGGGGAAUUUUGGACAAUGGGCGCAAGCCUGAUCCAGCCAUGCCGCGUGUCUGAAGAAGGCCUUCGGGUUGUAAAGGACUUUUGUCAGGGAAGAAAAGGAUAGGGUUAAUACCCCUGUCUGAUGACGGUACCUGAAGAAUAAGCACCGGCUAACUACGUGCCAGCAGCCGCGGUAAUACGUAGGGUGCGAGCGUUAAUCGGAAUUACUGGGCGUAAAGCGGGCGCAGACGGUUACUUAAGCAGGAUGUGAAAUCCCCGGGCUCAACCUGGGAACUGCGUUCUGAACUGGGUGACUAGAGUGUGUCGGAGGGAGGUAGAAUUCCACGUGUAGCAGUGAAAUGCGUAGAGAUGUGGAGGAAUACCGAUGGCGAAGGCAGCCUCCUGGGAUAACACUGACGUUCAUGCCCGAAAGCGUGGGUAGCAAACAGGAUUAGAUACCCUGGUAGUCCACGCCCUAAACGAUGUCGAUUAGCUGUUGGGCAGCUUGACUGCUUAGUAGCGAAGCUAACGCGUGAAAUCGACCGCCUGGGGAGUACGGUCGCAAGAUUA